UACGAGGGGUGCAAGCGUUGCUCGGAAUUAUUGGGCGUAAAGGGUAGGUAGGUGGUCUCAUUUGUCAGGGGUGAAAGCCUUGGGCUUAACCCAAGAAGUGCCCCUGAAACGGUGAGACUAGAGUGCUGGAGAGGGUCGUGGAAUUCCCGGUGUAGCGGUGAAAUGCGUAGAGAUCGGGAGGAACACCAGAGGCGAAGGCGGCGACCUGGACAGCUACUGACACUCAACUACGAAAGCGUGGGAGCAAACAGG
This 252-nucleotide ribosomal RNA is filed under the name uncultured bacterium. RNAcentral describes it as "partial 16S ribosomal RNA". It matches the Rfam family "Bacterial small subunit ribosomal RNA", at positions 524 to 776 of the family's 1533-position model. The record is from RNAcentral.